GGCUACAUCUAAUUACCACCCUCUAAAAAUUAAACAUAGUAAGCCCUAACCCUAAGCCCUUCCGAAAACCACAGCAAGAACGAAAGGGGAUUCAAGGUUCCCUCGAGUACCCUUCUGGAAGCCCACUAUAAAUCCGCGUCAGAUUAACAAUGAUCGAGGCAGAGACUCUACUGGAGGGAACACUGCCAUGUUGAGCAACCAGCCGUCAAUUCUUGGUCCUCAGCCAAUUCCAAUGCUUGGUGGGAUUCCUCCAUACAACAGUGUUCCGUAUCUACCUUCAGAUGCAGUUAUGGAACCUCAGCCUGUUGCAAGGUGGGAUACAGGAGCUGGCACCGUAGCUCCUUUACCUGUCCACUUGCAGAAUUAAAUGUAUAUGCAUCAUGGGGCUGUCCCUCCUGGUGCAGGUCCUUAGAUGAUGCCCUUGCCUGGUCAAGGAAGCCAACGGGGCCACUGCCACUAGGUAUGAGGCAUCAGGUGGUGCCAUUGCCUGGCUAAGGAAUCCAGCAAGGGGCCAUGCCGUGAAUUUUUUUUUAAAUAUUAUGUUUUAAAAACUUAAUUUUCAAAAUAUCCUCAUUUGUUUAGAUCCGUAGUUUGGAUGAGGUGGGAUGCAUGCAUGAAAUAAUGGGUUCUUUCAUUGUCACGCAAGAUGAAAUCGUGGAUUGAGCUCACGAUUUUCUUUGGAAGUGAUUUACUGAAGUGUCAAUGCAAUCUUAGGUUGAAUCUACGAUUUCACGACUGCCUCUUUUUUUCUCAAAAUUUUUCUUUCUCAAUCGAUCAUUACCUCUAUUCUAACAUAUCCAAAAUCCCAAAUCCUCAUCUCUGUUGAAUAAAUAAAGAAAGAAUAAAAUAUUCUUAUUUUCUAACUAAAAAAAAAUCAAGUCGAUGUAGUACAUAAAUAUAAUAAAACAUAAGAAUCAUGUUUCACAUGAUGACAAUGUAUUGGUUCAGCUUCACUUGAUCUCUCAUGUUCUUUCGUAUAUUGCUCUAUUUGUGUGACAUUCUUCUAUGUAACUUCCUAAGCCAUACAGCUUCCUACACAAUAUUGAAUUCUUAGGUGCUCAUGUUGUCUGCUGCAUACCCAAAAUAUGUAGCGGUCUUCUCAACAAACUAGAAUUGGCUUAUGUCGUCAUGCAUGUACCUGAUGAUGUGUAUGGAGUGAACGUUAGAAACUCUAAAUCAGAAAUGGAGAUACAACCUACAACAUAUGGCCUUUCCAUUCUUGAUUCCAGAGUUCCUUAUGUUCACUCCAUACAUGUCAUCGGCCAUCUACAUGAAUCCAUUGAGCUAUCUGGAGAGUUCCAUAUGUGUGGGUGAGGGAGUUACGUGGCUCUCACAUAGAUAUAGAGCAAUAUACGGAGGAGCGUGAGGGAUCGAGUGAAGCUGAAUCAAUAUGUCGUCCGAAGCAAUUUGCAUGGAGGAAGAGGUAGCCAUCAUGUAGGACAUGAUUUUUAUGUUUUAUUAUAUUUAUUUAGGAUUUAAUUUUUUUUAGUUAAAAAAUAAAAUAUUUCAUUCUUUAUUUAUUUAAAUGGGGACGGGCAUUUGGGGUUGGUGAUGGGUUAGAAUAGGACAGAGGAUCGAAUGAGAAAGAAAAAUUUUGAAAAAAAUGGGAGACUGUAAUGAAAUUAUGGGUUUAACCCAUGAUUUCAGCAAAUCACUUCAAAAAAAAUCAUGAGUUUAAUCCAUAAUUUCAUCUUACGCUGCAAUGAAAUUGUGGAUCGAAUCCACGAUUUCAUGCAUGGCAUCCUAUCUCACCCAAACUACAGUAGAUCUAUAAAUAAGUUUUUAAAAUGAAAGUAUUUUGAGAGUUAAGUUUUUAAAAAAUAAUUUUUAAAAAAGUUCUCAUGCCGUCCGGUAUGAGUCCUGAGACGAUGCAGUUGCCUGGUCAACAUUGAGCGAUAACGCGAGUUGCAUGCACAAAACUCAUGACAUGACUGAUACAAAACUGACCUCUCAUCAAGGUAUAGAUCAAUGGGCAUAUUUUUCAAGUCACAAUGUGUUGCUUUCUCAUAUUCCAGAGGACUUUGUAAUUUUUUUGUGAAGAUUUAUCUAGAAUAUGUGCAUCACUUGGGACAACUUGGAGCAGAGAGUAAACACGACCGGUUGCUUUGCAAAAAGCGAGUUAGCCUAAGUUUUAUCGUGCUUUGCUUGCGGAGAAACUUGUGAAAUCUUGCUUCACAGCUUCAGGUGGUCAUUUGAUCUUUUCUGUUUCUUGUUAUAGAAACUUCCAGUAUCCAGAUUUAAAUGUCGUCUUGUGGCUAUUAUAAGCAUUAGUGAGGUCCCUAUGGUGGGUGACUCGUACCAUCCCAGAUGCCUGGGGGCUUGGCCGGUUGCCUGUAUGUCACUUUUCUAUGAAUGAUUGUAGAAAACUAUGUAAACUGCUCAUAUGGUGACGGCAUGUAAUUUUCUAUGCAA
Long non-coding RNA from Elaeis guineensis (African oil palm), 2412 nucleotides. RefSeq lists it as uncharacterized. The record is from RefSeq and is a predicted model, not a curated record. Lineage: Eukaryota; Viridiplantae; Streptophyta; Magnoliopsida; Arecales; Arecaceae.